UAGGCCCACGAUUUCAGAGAAAAUUACUUCAAAAAGUACACCAGUACAAAGAUGAUGAGGGUAACAAUAUCUUGCAUUACGCUGGAAUGUCGCCUCCAUCAGAUAAGCUCGAUACUAUUUCAGGAGUAGCUUUUCAGCUGCAGCAGGAGUUAUUAUGGUUUCAGGAAGUGAAUAAGAUUGUGAAUCCAUUGGUUGCGGAAGCUAAAAAU
Molecule: long non-coding RNA, 209 nt
Organism: Pistacia vera
Lineage: Eukaryota; Viridiplantae; Streptophyta; Magnoliopsida; Sapindales; Anacardiaceae
Exons: 2
Source: RefSeq, a predicted model, not a curated record